CCUACGGGAGGCUGCAGUGAGGAAUAUUGGUCAAUGGUCGGGAGACUGAACCAGCCAAGCCGCGUGAGGGAUGAAGGUACAGAGUAUCGUAAACCUCUUUUGUCAGGGAACAAAGGCGGGUACGUGUCCCCUGAUGAGUGUACCUGUCGAAAAAGCAUCGGCUAACUCCGUGCCAGCAGCCGCGGUAAUCCGGAGUAUGCGAGCGUUAUCCGGAUUUAUUGGGUUUAAAGGGUGCGCGGGCGGUCUGUUAAGUCAGCGGUAAAAGCCGGGGGCUCAACCCCGGCCCGCCGUUGAAACUGGCAGUCGCGAGUGGGAGAGAAGUAUGCGGAAUGCGCGGUGUAGCGGGGAAAUGCAUAGAGAGCGCGAAGAACUCUGAGUGCGAAGGCAGCAUGCCGGAUCCACACUGACGCUGAGGCACGAAAGCGUGGGUAUCGAACAGGAUUAGAUACCCUUGUAGUC
This 459-nucleotide ribosomal RNA is filed under the name uncultured bacterium. Its description in RNAcentral is "partial 16S ribosomal RNA". It matches the Rfam family "Bacterial small subunit ribosomal RNA", at positions 338 to 795 of the family's 1533-position model. The record is from RNAcentral.